RNAcentral lists this ribosomal RNA (520 nucleotides) under uncultured Glomus. Its description in RNAcentral is "SSU rRNA". It matches the Rfam family "Eukaryotic small subunit ribosomal RNA", at positions 569 to 1091 of the family's 1831-position model. Lineage: Eukaryota; Fungi; Glomeromycota; Glomeromycetes; Glomerales; Glomeraceae. The record is from RNAcentral.
AGCAGCCGCGGUAAUUCCAGCUCCAAUAGCGUAUAUUAAAGUUGCUGCAGUUAAAAAAGCUCGUAGUUGAAUUUCGGGAUCGAUAUAUCGGUCGUGCCUCGGUACGUACUGGUAUUUUCGGUUUCUCCCUUCUGACGAACCUUGAUGUCAUUAAUUUGGUGUCUUGGGGAAUCAGGACUGUUACUUUGAAAAAAUUAGAGUGUUUAAAGCAGGCUCACGCUUGAAUACAUUAGCAUGGAAUAAUGAAAUAGGACGUUUGAUUCUAUUUUGUUGGUUUCUAGGAUCGACGUAAUGAUUAAUAGGGAUAGUUGGGGGCAUUAGUAUUCAAUUGUCAGAGGUGAAAUUCUUGGAUUUAUUGAAGACUAACUACUGCGAAAGCAGUUGCCAAGGAUGGUUUCAUUAAUCAAGAACGAAAGUUAGGGGAUCGAAGACGAUCAGAUACCGUCGUAGUCUUAACCAUAAACUAUGCCGACUAGGGAUCGGAUGAUGUUAAUUUUUAAUGACUCAUUCGGCGCCUUAC